RNAcentral lists this long non-coding RNA (563 nucleotides) under Aotus nancymaae (Ma's night monkey). RNAcentral describes it as "lncRNA (ENSANAG00000039184.1)". Lineage: Eukaryota; Metazoa; Chordata; Mammalia; Primates; Aotidae. The record is from RNAcentral.
AACAAAAGUAACCAGGAGAACAAGCUUUAGAGAUGAUAAAAGCUCAGUAUCUUGGCAACCUUUUGUGUUGGGUUAUUUUUAAAAAAUGGAUAAUAUUGUGCUCUAGUUCUAAUUUAUUCAGCUAUUUGCUGAGUGAUAGCAACAUUACAACUACAGAAUCUGUAUGUCAUCUUGACAUUCACCCAUAUAAUUGGAAGAAGGAAAGAAAGCGGGCAGACAAAAAGAAGAAAGAACAGAGAAGAAUUUUGGAAAAAUAUGGAACUGUAAGAUGAUGCAUUCUACAUAUGAUUUAUGUAAGAGGGAGAAUUUAAAACUUCAGUUAAACCCAAAGAAAAUGUUGCAUGUUGACAUUUCUGUAUCAAAAUAUUGGCAAAUAAAUGGAUAUGCAUGUGAUUUAAGUUAAAAUAAAAAUGUUUAAGUAUUGUAUGUAUCAUAUUUAUUGGAUGCACUGUAAAACCAAUUUUGAUGUUUACCACUAUUUUUCCUUUUACUAUGGUAUUUAUGAAUAUAUAUUUAUUUGUGGCUCAGAAGAAUUUAAGACGGUCAAAGUUGCUGCAAAACAA